UACGGGGGGGGCAAGCGUUGUUCGGAAUUACUGGGCGUAAAGGGCGCGUAGGCGGCCUUCUAAGUCGGACGUGAAAUCCCUCGGCUCAACCGAGGAACUGCGUCCGAUACUGGAGGGCUUGAAUCCGGGAGAGGGAUGUGGAAUUCCAGGUGUAGCGGGGAAAUGCGUAGAUAUCUGGAGGAACACCGGUGGCGAAGGCGGCAUCCUGGACCGGCAUUGACGCUGAGGCGCGAAAGCCAGGGGAGCAAACGGG
This 253-nucleotide ribosomal RNA is filed under the name uncultured bacterium. RNAcentral describes it as "partial 16S ribosomal RNA". It matches the Rfam family "Bacterial small subunit ribosomal RNA", at positions 524 to 776 of the family's 1533-position model. The record is from RNAcentral.